Molecule: ribosomal RNA, 461 nt
Filed under: uncultured beta proteobacterium
Lineage: Bacteria; Pseudomonadati; Pseudomonadota; Betaproteobacteria
Description: bacterial SSU rRNA
Rfam family: Bacterial small subunit ribosomal RNA
Source: RNAcentral
AGACCUCGCGCAAUUGGAGCGGCCGAUGUCGGAUUAGCUAGUUGGUGGGGUAAAGGCCUACCAAGGCGACGAUCCGUAGCUGGUCUGAGAGGACGACCAGCCACACUGGGACUGAGACACGGCCCAGACUCCUACGGGAGGCAGCAGUGGGGAAUUUUGGACAAUGGACGCAAGUCUGAUCCAGCCAUGCCGCGUGCGGGAAGAAGGCCUUCGGGUUGUAAACCGCUUUUGUCAGGGAAGAAAUCUUCUGGGUUAAUACCUCGGGAGGAUGACGGUACCUGGAAUAAGCACCGGCUAACUACGUGCCAGCAGCCGCGGUAAUACGUAGGGUGCAAGCGUUAAUCGGAAUUACUGGGCGUAAAGCGUGCGCAGGCGGUUAUGCAAGACAGGUGUGAAAUCCCCGAGCUCAACUUGGGAACUGCACUUUGUGACUGCAUAGCUAGAGUACGGUAGAGGGGGAG